Molecule: transfer RNA, 72 nt
Filed under: Muribaculaceae bacterium
Lineage: Bacteria; Pseudomonadati; Bacteroidota; Bacteroidia; Bacteroidales; Muribaculaceae
Description: tRNA-Met
Rfam family: tRNA
About the family: Transfer RNA (tRNA) molecules are approximately 80 nucleotides in length. Their secondary structure includes four short double-helical elements and three loops (D, anti-codon, and T loops). Further hydrogen bonds mediate the characteristic L-shaped molecular structure. tRNAs have two regions of fundamental functional importance: the anti-codon, which is responsible for specific mRNA codon recognition, and the 3' end, to which the tRNAs corresponding amino acid is attached (by aminoacyl-tRNA synthetases). tRNAs cope with the degeneracy of the genetic code in two manners: having more than one tRNA (with a specific anti-codon) for a particular amino acid; and 'wobble' base-pairing, i.e. permitting non-standard base-pairing at the 3rd anti-codon position.
Source: RNAcentral
CGCGGGGUGGAGCAGUGGUAGCUCGUUGGGCUCAUAACCCAAAGGUCGGAGGUUCGAGUCCUCCCCCCGCUA